CCAGUCUGUGCCAGCAGCUGCGGUAAUUCCAGCUCUGCGAGUUUGCUCCCAUAUUGUUGCAGUUAAAACGCCCGUAGUCUGAAUUGGCCAGCAAUGGUCGUACGUAUUUUUACGUUCACUGUGAACAAAUCAGGACGCUUAGAGUAUGGCCACAUGAAUGACUCAGCGCAGUAUGAAGUCUUUGUUUUCUUCCGAAAACAAGCUCAAUGAGAGCCAUCGGGGGUAGAUCUAUCUCAUGACGAGUGGUGGAAUACUUUGACUCAUGAGAGAGAAGCUGAGGCGAAGGCGUCUACCUAGAGGGUUUCUGUCGAUCAAGGGCGAGAGUAGGAGUAUCCAACAGGAUUAGAGACCCUGGUAGUUCCUACCUUAAACGAUGCCGACAGGAGUUUGUCAUUUGUUAAUGGCAGAAUCUUUGGAGAAAUCAUAGUUCUUGGGCUCUGGGGGAACUACGACCGCAAGGCUGAAACUUGAAGGAAUUGACGGAAGGGCACACCAGGGGUGGAGCCUGUGGCUUAAUUUGAAUCAACACGGGGAAACUUACCAGGACCAGAUGUUUUUUAUGACUGACAGGCUUCGGGUCUUUCAGGAUAUUGUUUUUGGUGGUGCAUGGCCGUUGGUGGUGCGUGGGUUGACCUGUCUAGCGUUGAUUCAGCUAACGAGCGAGAUUAUCGCCAAUUAUUUACUUUGCCGAAGUCCUUCGGUUAAAGUUCUAAUUGGGACUCCCUGCGAUUUUAGCAGGUGGAAGAGGGUAGCAAUAACAGGUCCGUGAUGCCCUUUAGAUGCUCUGGGCUGCACGCGUGCUACAAUGUUAGGAUCAAUAGGACUGCGAGCCUGAGAGGGUGCGCUACUCUUAUAAUCCCUAACGUAGUUGGGAUUGACGUUUGUAAUCAGCGUCAUGAACCAGGAAUCCCUUGUAAAUGUGUGUCAACAACGCACGUUGAAUACGUCCCUGCCCUUUGUA
RNAcentral lists this non-coding RNA (961 nucleotides) under Trichomonas vaginalis G3. RNAcentral describes it as "Eukaryotic small subunit ribosomal RNA". It matches the Rfam family "Eukaryotic small subunit ribosomal RNA", at positions 556 to 1664 of the family's 1831-position model. The record is from Rfam by way of RNAcentral. Lineage: Eukaryota; Parabasalia; Trichomonadida; Trichomonadidae.